GUAGUCUGUACUGCUGGGCCCCUACCCGUCCUUCCUCCCUACGCUCUUCUCCGCAAUUCCAAGCUUCGCACCGCCUUGCCGGCCUAGCUUCCCUGCUCCUGGGGGCCCGCUGCUGUCCUAGUGCACUGUCACCCGAUGACCCAGAUGCGCUGCGCCGCCUCCGCCCGUCCUUGGACGCGGACCUCCUUCUCCCCGCCCUGCAGCUGGUCCUGGAACCACUGCGCCUGCUAUGCGAUGGACUCCUGUCCCUGCUCCACUGCCGAUCAGCUGACCUCCUGCUGCUGCCGGGCCUGGCGCCACCGCUGCGCCGCUCCCGUCUGUACUCCUCCCGCUCCCUGGUCCCGCUGCGGUGCCCCCCGUGAGAGCAGCCUGAGGGGCCCAACCUUCCACUGCUACUGCUCCUGACUUCCCUAUCCCGCGCUGUACUGCGUGUGUCCCCUUUCUCCGCUGUACCUGGCCAUCUGUUGGCCGCUGCGCCUGGCUCAGAUGCCCCUUGCACCCCCUGGCAGCCCGCUGGAACCUCUGCCGCUCCCUGUCCGAUCCUGCCGUCCCUCCUCCCUAUGCCUGGCACUGUCGCCCGUCCCGGCCACACCUAAGGCCGCCCGCGAGCUGGUCCCGCUGACCAGGCCACCCCUGGGUUGCUGGGGGGCCGCCUGCGCUGGAACAUCCCGCGUCCCGCCCGCCCCCU
Pelobates cultripes (western spadefoot toad) is the source of this 688-nucleotide non-coding RNA. NCBI's taxonomy places the organism in Eukaryota, Metazoa, Chordata, Amphibia, Anura, Pelobatidae. The record is from the annotation of a GenBank genome assembly.